GAUGAACGCUGGCGGCGUGCCUAAUACAUGCAAGUCGAGCGAACAGAUGAGGAGCUUGCUCCUCUGACGUUAGCGGCGGACGGGUGAGUAACACGUGGAUAACCUACCUAUAAGACUGGGAUAACUUCGGGAAACCGGAGCUAAUACCGGAUUAUAUAUUGAACCGCAUGGUUCAAUAGUGAAAGACGGUUUUGCUGUCACUUAUAGAUGGAUCCGCGCCGCAUUAGCUAGUUGGUAAGGUAACGGCUUACCAAGGCAACGAUGCGUAGCCGACCUGAGAGGGUGAUCGGCCACACUGGAACUGAGACACGGUCCAGACUCCUACGGGAGGCAGCAGUAGGGAAUCUUCCGCAAUGGGCGAAAGCUUGACGGAGCAACGCCGCGUGAGUGAUGAAGGUCUUCGGAUCGUAAAACUCUGUUAUUAGGGAAGAACAAAUGUGUAAGUAACUAUGCACGUCUUGACGGUACCUAAUCAGAAAGCCACGGCUAACUACGUG
This 497-nucleotide ribosomal RNA is filed under the name uncultured bacterium. Its description in RNAcentral is "partial 16S ribosomal RNA". It matches the Rfam family "Bacterial small subunit ribosomal RNA", at positions 28 to 507 of the family's 1533-position model. The record is from RNAcentral.